CCUUACUCAUCAAACCUACUUGAAUAUCUGGAAAUCUAGAACUAGAAUAGCUCAUCUUAUUCAUCAAUUUCUUUGAUUCAAUCUCUUCCACUUGUCAAUACAAUCAAGCUGAGUUGUUGCAUCUAUGGAGCACCAUAACAACUAUAAAUAGCUGCUCAACCAUCCCAAAUGAAACACAAAUCAGAUUAACCACUAAUUCCUAAUUCACCAUUAAAAUUCCUUAAAAUUAAUUCAAGAAAUUUCCACCACCACCACCACUUACUGCUGCCGCCACCACCACUUCCUGCCACCACCACCCUGACCGCCCAACACCACCACGACCACCGCACACCCUUUCGCCACUCGUCGUCCUCCACGCCCAGCCUCCCCUGCCUCCAUCUCCUCUGCGCCCAUCCCCCUCCGUCUUCCUCUCUUCCACGAAGCCACGCAACUGCCACCACCCAGCACCGCAUCUCCCCCGCAACCACCAUCACCAGCCCACUGCGCCGCUCAGACCCAACCACAACUCCCUCCACCUUGCCGAGCAGCGACACCUGCAACCCCUCCUCUCUCAUUUUCGGCUCUGUUCUUGCUCUCUUCUUGGUCGUUUUUUCACAAAGCCAGGAAAUCAAAUUCCAAAACUCUGGCUAAUUAAAAAAAAAAAAAAACAGUUGGAGGCUGGCCCAAUUCUAACUACUUGGGCUUUGAAUUCGGACUCGGAGCUCAGAAAGAACGAACCAAGGACAAAGCUUAACGUAACGCGGAAUUAAGGUACUGCGGGGAUCAAUGGAGACGAGUAGUGGCGAGGAAUUUCACUUGAAUAAUAUUCACUUAGUUUAUACUUAAUGUUUUAAUAGUUUAAUUAAAGACUCUUAGUAAGUUAUGUACUUUUAUUUCGGUAAUAUAAAGAAUUAUUAUAAUAACUUUUGGGAUUUAAUAGCUUAUGAUUGAUGGUUGCCUUGUAAUUCCCAAUAGGGAGUUACGGCAGGUAAUGUCCCGACCAAAUUAGGUUAAUUCCGCUGCUAAUUAUGCUUUAAUAAUUGAAUUAGAGGUCGGGGCGUUACAGAAAGAGUGACUUAGAGUUAAGUUAGAGAGAGAAAGAGUGACUUAGAGUUAAGUUAGAGAGAGAAAGAGUGACUUAGAGUUAAGUCAGAGUGAGAAAGA
Molecule: long non-coding RNA, 1143 nt
Organism: Spinacia oleracea (spinach)
Lineage: Eukaryota; Viridiplantae; Streptophyta; Magnoliopsida; Caryophyllales; Amaranthaceae
Exons: 3
Source: RefSeq, a predicted model, not a curated record